AUUGAGCGCUGGCGGCAUGCCUUACACAUGCAAGUCGAACGGCAGCAUGGAGAGCUUGCUCUCUGAUGGCGAGUGGCGAACGGGUGAGUAAUGCGUCGGAACGUACCGUGUAAUGGGGGAUAACGUAGCGAAAGUUACGCUAAUACCGCAUACGACCUGAGGGUGAAAGCAGGGGAUCGCAAGACCUCGCGUUAUACGAGCGGCCGAUGUCAGAUUAGCUAGUUGGUGAGGUAAAGGCUCACCAAGGCGACGAUCUGUAGCGGGUCUGAGAGGAUGCUCCGCCACACUGGGACUGAGACACGGCCCAGACUCCUACGGGAGGCAGCAGUGGGGAAUUUUGGACAAUGGGGGCAACCCUGAUCCAGCCAUGCCGCGUGAGUGAAGAAGGCCUUCGGGUUGUAAAGCUCUUUCGGCCGGGAAGAAAUCGCACAGGCUAAUACUCUGUGUGGAUGACGGUACCGGCAUAAGAAGCACCGGCUAACUACGCGCCAGCCGCCGCCGUAA
Molecule: ribosomal RNA, 504 nt
Filed under: uncultured bacterium
Lineage: Bacteria
Description: partial 16S ribosomal RNA
Rfam family: Bacterial small subunit ribosomal RNA
Source: RNAcentral